RNAcentral lists this ribosomal RNA (429 nucleotides) under Bacteroidota bacterium. Its description in RNAcentral is "Bacteroidetes bacterium partial 16S ribosomal RNA". It matches the Rfam family "Bacterial small subunit ribosomal RNA", at positions 355 to 776 of the family's 1533-position model. Lineage: Bacteria; Pseudomonadati; Bacteroidota. The record is from RNAcentral.
UAGGGAAUCUUCCGCAAUGGUCGCCAGUCUGCCGGAGCAACGCCGCGUGAGUGAAGAAGGAUUUCGGUUCGUAAAACUCUGUUGUUAGAGAAGAACAGCGCAUAGAGUAACUGUUAUGCGUGUGACGGUAUCUAACCAGAAAGCCACGGCUAACUACGUGCCAGCAGCCGCGGUAAUACGUAGGUGGCAAGCGUUGUCCGGAUUUAGUGGGCGUAAAGCGAGAGCAGGCGGUCUAUUAAGUCUGAUGUGAAAGCCCCCGGCUCAACCGGGGAGGGUCAUUGGAAACUGGUUGACUUGAGUGCAGAAGAGGAGGGUGGAAUUCCAUGUGUAGCGGAGAAAUGCGUAGAUAUAUGGAGGAACACCAGUGGCGAAAGCGACUCUCUGGUCCGUAACUGACGCGGAGGCUCGAAAGCGUGGGUAGCAAACAGG